This is a small nuclear RNA of Ursus americanus (American black bear), 108 nucleotides long. Lineage: Eukaryota; Metazoa; Chordata; Mammalia; Carnivora; Ursidae. The record is from Ensembl.
GUGCUUCCUUUGGCAGCUCUUAUACUAAAAUGGGAAUGAUACGGAGGAGAUCAGCGUGGCCCCUUGCACGAGAAUGACAUGCAAAUUCAGGAAGUGUUCCAUAUUUUU